This 253-nucleotide ribosomal RNA is filed under the name uncultured bacterium. RNAcentral's name for it is "partial 16S ribosomal RNA". It matches the Rfam family "Bacterial small subunit ribosomal RNA", at positions 524 to 776 of the family's 1533-position model. The record is from RNAcentral.
GACGUAGGGCGCGAGCGUUGUCCGGAUUUAUUGGGCGUAAAGAGCUCGUAGGCGGCUUGUCGCGUCGUCCGUGAAAACCCACAGCUCAACUGUGGGCUUGCGGUCGAUACGGGCAGACUAGAGUGCGGUAGGGGAGACUGGAAUUCCUGGUGUAGCGGUGAAAUGCGCAGAUAUCAGGAGGAACACCGGUGGCGAAGGCGGGUCUCUGGGCCGUAACUGACGCUGAGGAGCGAAAGCGUGGGGAGCGAACAGG